Molecule: ribosomal RNA, 497 nt
Filed under: uncultured bacterium
Lineage: Bacteria
Description: partial 16S ribosomal RNA
Rfam family: Bacterial small subunit ribosomal RNA
Source: RNAcentral
GAUGAACGCUGGCGGCGUGCCUAAUACAUGCAAGUCGAGCGAACGGACGAGAAGCUUGCUUUUCUGAUGUUAGCGGCGGACGGGUGAGUAACACGUGGAUCACCUACCUAUAAUACUGGGAUAACUUCGGGAAACCGGCGCUAAUACCGGAUAAUAUUUUGAACCGCAUGGUUCAAAAGUGAAAGACGGUCUUGCUGUCACUUAUCGCUGGAUCCGCGCUGCAUUAGCUAGUUGGUAAGGUAACGGCUUACCAAGGCAACGAGGCAUAGCCGAACUGAGAGAGUGAUCGCCCACACGGGAACGGAGACACGGACAAGACGCCUGAGAGAGGGAGCAGUAGGGAAUGGGCGGCAGUAGGCGAGAGCAUGACGGAGCAAGGCCGCGUGAGUGAUGGAGGUGUUGGGAUCGUAAAAAUGUGUUAUUAGGGAAGAACAUAUGUGGAAGGAGCUGAGCAGAGCGUGACGGUAACGGGUCAGAAAGCCACGGCUAACUACGUG